Molecule: ribosomal RNA, 445 nt
Filed under: uncultured bacterium
Lineage: Bacteria
Description: partial 16S ribosomal RNA
Rfam family: Bacterial small subunit ribosomal RNA
Source: RNAcentral
GUAGGGAAUAUUGGGCAAUGGAGGCAACUCUGACCCAGCCAUGCCGCGUGCAGGAUGACGGCCCUCUGGGUUGUAAACUGCUUUUAUACGGGAAGAAAAAAUACUACGUGUAGUAUACUGACGGUACCGUAAGAAUAAGGAUCGGCUAACUCCGUGCCAGCAGCCGCGGUAAUACGGAGGAUCCAAGCGUUGUCCGGAUUUAUUGGGUUUAAAGGGUGCGUAGGCGGAUCUUUAAGUCAGUGGUUAAAGCCUGCAGAUUAACUGUAGAAUUGCCAUUGAAACUGAAGAUCUUGAAUGUGGUUAAAGUAGGCGGAAUGUAUCAUGUAGCGGUGAAAUGCUUAGAUAUGAUACAGAACACCGAUAGCGAAGGCAGCUUGCUGAACCAUUAUUGACGCUGAGGCACGAAAGCGUGGGGAGCGAACAGGAUUAGAUACCCUAGUAGUCC